AUUGAACGCUGGCGGCAUGCCUUACACAUGCAAGUCGAACGGCAGCACGGGAGCAAUCCUGGUGGCGAGUGGCGAACGGGUGAGUAAAGUAUCGGAACGUGCCCAGUCGUGGGGGAUAACGUAGCGAAAGUUACGCUAAUACCGCAUACGAUCUAUGGAUGAAAGCGGGGGAUCGCGAGACCUCGCGCGAUUGGAGCGGCCGAUAUCAGAUUAGGUAGUUGGUGGGGUAAAGGCUCACCAAGCCGACGAUCUGUAGCUGGUCUGAGAGGACGACCAGCAACACUGGGAGUGAGAAACGGCCCAGACUCCUACGGGAGGCAGCAGUGGGGAAUUUUGGACAAUGGGCGAAAGCCUGAUCCAGCCAUGACGCGUGCAGGAUGAAGGCCUUCGGGUUGUAAACUGCUUUUGUACGGAACGAAAAGGUUUGGGCUAAUAAGCUGAGCUCAUGACGGUACCGUAAGAAUAAGCACCGGCUAACUACGUGCCAGCCGCCGCAGUAA
This 500-nucleotide ribosomal RNA is filed under the name uncultured bacterium. RNAcentral describes it as "partial 16S ribosomal RNA". It matches the Rfam family "Bacterial small subunit ribosomal RNA", at positions 30 to 523 of the family's 1533-position model. The record is from RNAcentral.